Picea glauca (white spruce) is the source of this 894-nucleotide non-coding RNA. The record is from Rfam. Lineage: Eukaryota; Viridiplantae; Streptophyta; Pinopsida; Pinales; Pinaceae.
GCGCAGCUUAGGUGGAAGGUGAAGAAGGCUCCCUCUCGGGGGGGCCUGAGCCACCAGUGAGAUACCACUCUGGAAGAGAUAGAAUUCUAACCUUGUGUCAGGACCUACAGGCCAAGGGAUAGUCUCAGGUAGACAGUUUCUAUGGGGUGUAGGCCUCCCAAAAGGUAACGGAGGCGUGCAAAGGUUUCCUCAGGCCAGAUGGAAAUCGACCCUCGAGUGCAAAGGCAUAAGGGAGCUUGACUGCAAGACCCACCCGUCGAGCAGGGACAAAAUUCGGCCUUAGUGAUCCAAUAGUGUCGAGUGGAAGGGCUAUCUCUCAAUGGAUAAAAGUUACUCUAGGGAUAACAGGUUGAUCUUCCCCAAGAGUUCACAUCGACGGGAAGGUUUGGCACCUCGAUGUCAGCUCUUCGCCACCUGGGGCGGUAGUAUGUUCCAAGGGUUGGGUUGUUCGCCCAUUAAAGAGGUACGUGAGCUGGGUUCAGAAUGUCGUGAGACAGUUCGGUCCAUAUCCGGUGUGGGCAUUAGAGCAUUGAGAUGACCUUUCCCUAGUACGAGAGGACCGGGAAGGACGCACCUCUGGUGUACCAUUUAUCAUGCCCAUGAUAGACGCUGGGUAGCCAAGUGCAGAGCAGAUAACUACUGAAAGAAUAUAAGUAGGAAGCCCACCCCAAGAUGAGUGCUCUCCUAUUCUUACUUCACUAAGAGACCUAGUUGCGAACAUGGCUGGUACAAAGACGAGUUAUCUGUCCUUGCAAGGGAUGGAGCGACAAAAGUAUUGAGAAUCCAAGAUAAGGUCACGGUGAGACGAGCCAUUUAUCAUUACGAUAGGUGUCAAGUGGAAGUGCAGUGAUGUAUGCAGCAAAGGCAUCCUAACAGACCAAGAGAUUUGAACCU